RNAcentral lists this ribosomal RNA (520 nucleotides) under uncultured Glomus. RNAcentral describes it as "SSU rRNA". It matches the Rfam family "Eukaryotic small subunit ribosomal RNA", at positions 569 to 1091 of the family's 1831-position model. The record is from RNAcentral. Lineage: Eukaryota; Fungi; Glomeromycota; Glomeromycetes; Glomerales; Glomeraceae.
CGCAGCCGCGGUAAUUCCAGCUCCAAUAGCGUAUAUUAAAGUUGUUGCAGUUAAAAAGCUCGUAGUUGAAUUUCGAGAUCAAAUUGUUGGUCGUGCCUCGGUACGUACUGGCAUUAUUGAUUUCUCCCUUCUGAAGAACCACGAUGUCAUUAAUUUGGUGUCGUGGGGAAUCAGGACUGUUACUUUGAAAAAAUUAGAGUGUUUAAAGCAGGCUCACGCUUGAAUACAUUAGCAUGGAAUAAUGAAAUAGGACGUUUGAUUCUAUUUUGUUGGUUUCUAGGAUCGACGUAAUGAUUAAUAGGGAUAGUUGGGGGCAUUAGUAUUCAAUUGUCAGAGGUGAAAUUCUUGGAUUUAUUGAAGACUAACUACUGCGAAAGCAUUUGCCAAGGAUGUUUUCAUUAAUCAAGAACGAAAGUUAGGGGAUCGAAGACGAUCAGAUACCGUCGUAGUCUUAACCAUAAACUAUGCCGACUAGGGAUCGGAUGAUGUUAAUUUUUAAUGUACUCAUUCGGCGCCUUAA